CUACGGGAGGCACCAGUGGGGAAUAUUGCACAAUGGGCGCAAGCCUGAUGCAGCCAUGCCGCGUGUAUGAAGAAGGCCUUCGGGUUGUAAAGUACUUUCAGCGGGGAGGAAGGGAGUAAAGUUAAUACCUUUGCUCAUUGACGUUACCCGCAGAAGAAGCACCGGCUAACUCCGUGCCAGCAGCCGCGGUAAUACGGAGGGUGCAAGCGUUAAUCGGAAUUACUGGGCGUAAAGCGCACGCAGGCGGUUUGUUAAGUCAGAGGUGAAAUCCCCGGGCUCAACCUGGGAACUGCAUCUGAUACUGGCAAGCUAGAGUCUCGUAGAGGGGGGUAGAAUUCCAGGUGUAGCGGUGAAAUGCGUAGAGAUCUGGAGGAAUACCGGUGGCGAAGGCGGCCCCCUGGACGAAGGCUGACGCUCAGGUGCGAAAGCGUGGGGAGCAAACAGGAUUAGAUACCCGGGUAGUC
This 464-nucleotide ribosomal RNA is filed under the name uncultured bacterium. RNAcentral's name for it is "partial 16S ribosomal RNA". It matches the Rfam family "Bacterial small subunit ribosomal RNA", at positions 339 to 795 of the family's 1533-position model. The record is from RNAcentral.